Molecule: ribosomal RNA, 253 nt
Filed under: uncultured bacterium
Lineage: Bacteria
Description: partial 16S ribosomal RNA
Rfam family: Bacterial small subunit ribosomal RNA
Source: RNAcentral
UACGUAGGUGGCAAGCGUUGUCCGGAUUUAUUGGGUUUAAAGGGUGCGUAGGCGGCCCUGUAAGUCAGUGGUGAAAUACUCUAGCUUAACUAGAGGGGUGCCAUUGAUACUGCAGGGCUUGAGUACAGACGAGGUAGGCGGAAUUGACGGUGUAGCGGUGAAAUGCGCAGAUAUCAGGAGGAACACCGGUGGCGAAGGCGGGUCUCUGGGCCGAUACUGACGCUGAGGAGCGAAAGCGUGGGGAGCAAACAGG